CCUACGGGUGGCUGCAGUGGGGAAUAUUGCACAAUGGGGGAAACCCUGAUGCAGCGACGCAGCGUGAGUGAAGAAGUAACUCGUUAUGUAAAGCUCUAUCUGCAGGGAAGUAAAUGACGGUACCUGAGUAAGUAGCUCCGGCUAACUACGUGACAGCAGCCGCGGUAAUACGGAGGCGGCCAGCGUUAUCCGGAUUUACUGGGCGUAAAGGGAGCGUAGACGGCAGUGCAAGUCUGGAGUGAAAGGCGGGGGCUCAACCCCCGGACUGCUGUGGAAACUGUACGGCUGGAGUGCAGGAGAGGUAAGUGGAAUUCGUAGUGUAGCGGUGAAAUGCGUAGAUAUUAGGAGGAACACCAGUGGCGAAGGCAGCUUACUGGACUGUAACUGACGCUGAGGCUCGAAAGCGUGGGGAGCAAACAGGAUUAGAUACCCGGGUAGUC
Molecule: ribosomal RNA, 440 nt
Filed under: uncultured bacterium
Lineage: Bacteria
Description: partial 16S ribosomal RNA
Rfam family: Bacterial small subunit ribosomal RNA
Source: RNAcentral